Molecule: ribosomal RNA, 600 nt
Filed under: uncultured Bacteroidales bacterium
Lineage: Bacteria; Pseudomonadati; Bacteroidota; Bacteroidia; Bacteroidales
Description: bacterial SSU rRNA
Rfam family: Bacterial small subunit ribosomal RNA
Source: RNAcentral
UUGGUUUGCUUGCAAACCAAAGCUGGCGACCGGCGCACGGGUGAGUAACACGUAUCCAACCUGCCUCAUACUCGGGGAUAGCCUUUCGAAAGAAAGAUUAAUAUCCGAUAGCAUAUAUUUCCCGCAUGGGUUUUAUAUUAAAGAAAUUCGGUAUGAGAUGGGGAUGCGUUCCAUUAGUUUGUUGGCGGGGUAACGGCCCACCAAGACUACGAUGGAUAGGGGUUCUGAGAGGAAGGUCCCCCACAUUGGAACUGAGACACGGUCCAAACUCCUACGGGAGGCAGCAGUGAGGAAUAUUGGUCAAUGGACGCGAGUCUGAACCAGCCAAGUAGCGUGAAGGAUGACUGCCCUAUGGGUUGUAAACUUCUUUUAUAUGGGAAUAAAGUGGUCCACGUGUGGAUUUUUGUAUGUACCAUAUGAAUAAGGAUCGGCUAACUCCGUGCCAGCAGCCGCGGUAAUACGGAGGAUCCGAGCGUUAUCCGGAUUUAUUGGGUUUAAAGGGAGCGUAGGCGGAUUGUUAAGUCAGUUGUGAAAGUUUGCGGCUCAACCGUAAAAUUGCAGUUGAUACUGGCAGUCUUGAGUGCAGUAGAGGUGGGCGGA